RNAcentral lists this long non-coding RNA (303 nucleotides) under Equus caballus (horse). RNAcentral's name for it is "lncRNA (ENSECAG00000052477.1)". The record is from RNAcentral. Lineage: Eukaryota; Metazoa; Chordata; Mammalia; Perissodactyla; Equidae.
GGAAAUUGAAAGGGAGCUAAAAGGGCAGCUCAUGGAGAAGAAAACAGGUUGUUCUUCACUGGGCUCCCAACGGUUUUGGAAACAUCAGCAGCAGGUUUCGUUUAGGAAUUUUCUGAGAGUGAUUCUAGAGUGUCAAGAUUGAGAUAUGUGGAGACAACUGGAGAAAUUCAUUUGACUAUCUUUCAAAUUGGUACAAUCAUAGGAUUGACUGGGAAUUUGCAAACAUUGGUGCAAGGCUAUCCUGUAGCUUUCUAUCUAUUUUCCUCGCUAACAAAUCCUCAAAUUGCUUCAAAAGCAAACUGC